RNAcentral lists this non-coding RNA (31 nucleotides) under Mus musculus (house mouse). The record is from RNAcentral. Lineage: Eukaryota; Metazoa; Chordata; Mammalia; Rodentia; Muridae.
UGGAAAUGACCUGGGGUCAAAGAAUUUAGUU